UAGCUCAGUUGGUAGAGCAUGGUGCUUGUAACAUCAGGGACGUGGGUUUGAUUCCCGC
RNAcentral lists this transfer RNA (58 nucleotides) under Salmo salar (Atlantic salmon). It matches the Rfam family "tRNA", at positions 8 to 63 of the family's 71-position model. Rfam says of the family: Transfer RNA (tRNA) molecules are approximately 80 nucleotides in length. Their secondary structure includes four short double-helical elements and three loops (D, anti-codon, and T loops). The record is from Rfam by way of RNAcentral. Lineage: Eukaryota; Metazoa; Chordata; Actinopteri; Salmoniformes; Salmonidae.